Molecule: long non-coding RNA, 1392 nt
Organism: Gopherus evgoodei (Goodes thornscrub tortoise)
Lineage: Eukaryota; Metazoa; Chordata; Testudines; Testudinidae
Exons: 7
Source: RefSeq, a predicted model, not a curated record
GAUUUCAACUUUUUGUCCCUAUUCGGGCUGGGAAACGUUUUCACUUGAAAAUUCUCAUGAGAUGGAAAAUAGAUUCCCACCCAACUCUGCUCAAUACUGAUAAGUCAAAGAACAACCAGAUGUUUAAAAAAAGAUGAAAUUCAUCCCAGUGCAACAUGCCUGCAGGGUCUAUACAGUAUUUGAGGUCUGUGGAGGGUCUUCUAGAAGCCGAGGGCAAUAAGAACAGUCCUUGAAAAACUUACAGUCUAAAUAGACAAGACAGACGGUGGAGCAGAAGUACAGAGGAAUCAAAUGACUUGCCCAAUAUCAGCCAGCAGAUGGGAAACUGAAGCACAUAAAGGUUAAGCGACUGUCAAAGUCACACGAGAAGUCAGUGGUGGAGCAAGAAAUUGAUCCCAGUUUUCUGUCUAAUAUCCUAACCACUGGUCCAUCCUUCCUCCCUAUCAUAAUUUACAAGUUUUGAUGGAGAUUUCUGCAUAACUAACCUUUCAUAUGGAGAGAAAGGAGUUUGCAUGUAGCUGUAUACUGCGAAUCCUACUAAAUACAGUAGGAGGAAAGCAAUGUUUUUCAUUAUUCAUAUAGCCCUUUGCUUGGUCUGGCUGGGCCCUGCUCUGUUGCACCCUCUGAGAUGCCAGGCUGCUGUUUGCCAACGGACCUCACGCUGGAGCCAGGAGAGUGCUGCUAAAGCGACACAAACUCUUUCACCUAAGAAGACAAAGGAACCAGAUUUUGGACUUUGGGAGGGACUCUAACCUGAGAAUUUCCUCUGCCCUGUUGCUGGGAACAUGUGGGUAAAACCCAUAAGAUAGUUUAUAUCUAGUCUGGCCAGCACAUUGUGAAUGGACCAUUCAAAUUGAUGGCUCAUUAAAGAACACUUAAUGAACACUUACAAUGAACCAUAAAAGAAGCUUGUUCCCACCUGGUGAGCCUUCCUGUGGACGCUUAGCUAAAAUAUGGGUAAUGGUUCCUCCUGUGAGUCAUCAAAACAUGUAAGGGCAUGUAACCUGAUCAUGUGACCCUGGACUCCAUCUUGUGUCAUCUUUUCUACAGAAUGUGCUAGGGGCUUUGUUUGGGAUGGUGAAGUUCCCUCCACAUGGGAGAAGAUAUAAAAGAUCAUGGAACCAUCUCCAUUUUGCCUCUUUCCUGCUCUGAUCACUGGACUAUGGACUUACACUAAAAGGAGCAUUGCACUGAGGACCUUCCACUAUUUUGGAAGUUACCAGAGAUUUUACAAGCCAAUAAUUUAUUCCAUCACUGCUUCAAACCUAAUACAAGAACUUUGCAAUGAGUGUGUAUAUUUGUUUUCCUUGACCAUCUUAACUCUCUCCUCUAUCUUUUCUUUUCUAAAUAAACCUUUAAAUAUUAGAUAUUAAAGGAUUGGCAACAGCGUGA